This 459-nucleotide ribosomal RNA is filed under the name Triticum aestivum (bread wheat). RNAcentral describes it as "partial small subunit ribosomal RNA". The record is from RNAcentral. Lineage: Eukaryota; Viridiplantae; Streptophyta; Magnoliopsida; Poales; Poaceae.
AUGAAGCAGAAGUUGCGUCACAUGCUCCACAUCCUAUCAGCGGACUUCCAAAUACUACAAGGAUGCGGAUUUGUUGAUGACGGCUACAGAUGUUUCCAAGUAAGGCGGUCGUGCCGUGAGGUGAUGCAUUGGCUCUGGUCCUUCUUUUUGGUAAGGGUGUGUUUGGUUGCUGGAAUGGCGUGGAACGUCACGGGUCCGACCCAUUGCCGAGCAUCGUUCUCGUGUUCAGUAGGGAGAUGGAACGGUCACCGCCUCGUUCCUAGGAACCGAAUAUUCGGCCCAGAUGCGGAACCAGGUGAUACCUCCAAAACGAGCGGACGACGCGGAACCGGCUCUCUUCUCGCACGCCCAGCCCUAUCGCCUCUCCUCGCUGCGCCGCCUCCCCCUCGUCUCUCUCUCUCCCUCGAUCUGCGCCGCCCCACCCCGCCCCGCCUUCCCCCGAUCCCUCGCCGCGGCUGA